This 248-nucleotide ribosomal RNA is filed under the name uncultured Ruminiclostridium sp. RNAcentral's name for it is "partial 16S ribosomal RNA". It matches the Rfam family "Bacterial small subunit ribosomal RNA", at positions 524 to 771 of the family's 1533-position model. Lineage: Bacteria; Bacillati; Bacillota; Clostridia; Eubacteriales; Oscillospiraceae. The record is from RNAcentral.
UACGUAGGUGGCGAGCGUUGUCCGGAAUUACUGGGUGUAAAGGGAGUGUAGGCGGGAAGGCAAGUCAGAAGUGAAAACUAUGGGCUUAACCCAUAGCCUGCUUUUGAAACUGUUUUUCUUGAGUGAAGUAGAGGCAAGCGGAAUUCCUAGUGUAGCGGUGAAAUGCGUAGAGAUCGGUAGGAACACCAGUGGCGAAGGCGGCUUGCUGGGCUCUAACUGACGCUGAGGCUCGAAAGUGUGGGGAGCAA